Non-coding RNA from Phascolarctos cinereus (koala), 283 nucleotides. The record is from RefSeq and is a predicted model, not a curated record. NCBI's taxonomy places the organism in Eukaryota, Metazoa, Chordata, Mammalia, Diprotodontia, Phascolarctidae.
UGGAAUAAUACAUAGCUCUAGCCCUGAGUGGAUGAAAUCACUUUAUUAAAGAAGAACAUUGCCAUUCCAAUACACCAGUUUUAUUUCCUGAAUUGGGACUUGGUGUUAUGACCAUGCUCUAUACACUUCUGGACAGAAUGUUCUAGACUCAGGUUUUGGUACAAGUGAUACAACUACAUUCCUGCCCUCAUUGGAUCUCCAGUAGACAGUUGCUAGCUGGAUUGCUCCCCACAUUGGUCACUUUCCAAUGACAUGAAUGCUGCUCCAAGAUCAAAGAGAAAGU